This 397-nucleotide ribosomal RNA is filed under the name uncultured bacterium. RNAcentral's name for it is "partial 16S ribosomal RNA". It matches the Rfam family "Bacterial small subunit ribosomal RNA", at positions 523 to 918 of the family's 1533-position model. The record is from RNAcentral.
AUACGUAGGGGGCGAGCGUUGUCCGGAAUGAUUGGGCGUAAAGGGCGCGUAGGCGGCCCGGUAAGUCUGGAGUGAAAGUCCUGUUUUUAAGCCGGGAAUUGCUUUGGAUACUGUCGGGCUUGAGUGCAGGAGAGGUAAGUGGAAUUCCCAGUGUAGCGGUGAAAUGCUUAGAGAUUGGGAGGAACACCAGUGGCGAAGGCGACUUACUGGACUGUAACUGACGCUGAGGCGCGAAAGUGUGGGGAGCAAACAGGAUUAGAUGCCCUGGUAGUCCACACUGUAAACGAUGAAGGCUAGGUGUAGGGGGUAUCGACCCCUUCUGUGCCGCAGUCAACACAAUAAGCAUUCCGCCUGGGGAGUACGGCCGCAAGGUGGAAACUCAAAUGAGUUGACGGGG